This 97-nucleotide transfer RNA is filed under the name Kalmanozyma brasiliensis GHG001. It matches the Rfam family "tRNA". From Rfam's summary of the family: Transfer RNA (tRNA) molecules are approximately 80 nucleotides in length. Their secondary structure includes four short double-helical elements and three loops (D, anti-codon, and T loops). Further hydrogen bonds mediate the characteristic L-shaped molecular structure. tRNAs have two regions of fundamental functional importance: the anti-codon, which is responsible for specific mRNA codon recognition, and the 3' end, to which the tRNAs corresponding amino acid is attached (by aminoacyl-tRNA synthetases). tRNAs cope with the degeneracy of the genetic code in two manners: having more than one tRNA (with a specific anti-codon) for a particular amino acid; and 'wobble' base-pairing, i.e. permitting non-standard base-pairing at the 3rd anti-codon position. The record is from Rfam by way of RNAcentral. Lineage: Eukaryota; Fungi; Basidiomycota; Ustilaginomycetes; Ustilaginales.
GGCCGGUUGGCCCAAUGGUAAGGCGUCUGACUACGAUGACCCACAUUGGCAAAUCGUGUAAAUCAGGAGAUUCUGGGUUCGAGCCCCAGGCUGGUCA